RNAcentral lists this ribosomal RNA (466 nucleotides) under uncultured bacterium. RNAcentral's name for it is "partial 16S ribosomal RNA". It matches the Rfam family "Bacterial small subunit ribosomal RNA", at positions 28 to 507 of the family's 1533-position model. The record is from RNAcentral.
GAUGAACGCUGGCGGCGUGCUUAACACAUGCAAGUCGAACGAUGAAGCCCAGCUUGCUGGGUGGAUUAGUGGCGAACGGGUGAGUAACACGUGAGUAACCUGCCCUUAACUCUGGGAUAAGCCUGGGAAACUGGGUCUAAUACCGGAUAGGAGCGUCCACCGCAUGGUGGGUGUUGGAAAGAUUUAUCGGUUUUGGAUGGACUCGCGGCCUAUCAGCUUGUUGGUGAGGUAAUGGCUCACCAAGGCGACGACGGGUAGCCGGCCUGAGAGGGUGACCGGCAACACUGGGACUGAGACACGGCCCAGACUCCUACGGGAGGCAGCAGUGGGGAAUAUUGCACAAUGGGCGCAAGCCUGAUGCAGCGACGCCGCGUGAGGGAUGACGGCCUUCGGGUUGUAAACCUCUUUCAGUAGGGAAGAAGCGAAAGUGACGGUACCUGAAGAAGAAGCACCGGCUAACUACGUG